GCGGGCAUAGUAUAGCGAUAGUACGACUGCCUUCCAAGCAGUAGGCGCGAGUUUGACUCUCGCUGCCCGCA
This 71-nucleotide transfer RNA is filed under the name Candidatus Giovannonibacteria bacterium RIFCSPHIGHO2_02_43_16. RNAcentral describes it as "tRNA-Gly". It matches the Rfam family "tRNA". Rfam says of the family: Transfer RNA (tRNA) molecules are approximately 80 nucleotides in length. Their secondary structure includes four short double-helical elements and three loops (D, anti-codon, and T loops). Lineage: Bacteria; Candidatus Giovannoniibacteriota. The record is from RNAcentral. RNAcentral also lists the same sequence under 2 other names.